This 165-nucleotide non-coding RNA is filed under the name Parageobacillus thermantarcticus. Lineage: Bacteria; Bacillati; Bacillota; Bacilli; Caryophanales; Anoxybacillaceae. The record is from RNAcentral.
UCUUUCGUGAGGUAGAAUCUGGAGGAAGCUUGUAGACACUAGAUUACACGAACCAAAUUAGAAGCUGGGACAGCCGGACGAGCCUGCCAGACAAGGUAAAGUCCAAAGCCGCCAAGGGCUAUUUCAGUAAGCUUGGGUGGACACAUGAACGGAAAGAUGACAAUU